Molecule: long non-coding RNA, 399 nt
Filed under: Cyanistes caeruleus (blue tit)
Lineage: Eukaryota; Metazoa; Chordata; Aves; Passeriformes; Paridae
Description: lncRNA (ENSCCEG00000011951.1)
Source: RNAcentral
GAAGAAUUUGGAAUAAAAAAUAUCUGGGUCUCACAUUUCAAAUACUUGCACAAACACAUGGCACCUAGUAUUAUCACGAGAAGAGACAGUUUUUUGACUUGUUCCAGCACAGUGUCUGUGAGAAAAAGGUGCUUUCAGGUCAACACCAGCUAUUUCAGGAAAAGACGCUGGCAAUAUCAGACCAGGGCUUCCAUCAGUGAAGUCACACAGGUAUCUCUGCUAAAUAUUUUUGUGGCACUGAAUGAGGUUUCUAAUAUGGUAAUUAUGUUUUGAAAGCAGAGAGGCUGUGAAAAAUGGCAGGUAAAGCAGGAAUAACUGAGGCUUCUGGAGCAAGGGACAAGAAGCAAGACAAUAGAGGAAAGAAAUAUUUUAUAAGCCUGUGACUGAAGACUGGGAGGU